This 379-nucleotide transfer-messenger RNA is filed under the name Oscillospiraceae bacterium. It matches the Rfam family "transfer-messenger RNA". Rfam says of the family: Bacterial tmRNA, also known as 10Sa RNA or SsrA, is named for its dual tRNA and mRNA-like properties. Its role is to liberate the mRNA from a stalled ribosome. Lineage: Bacteria; Bacillati; Bacillota; Clostridia; Eubacteriales; Oscillospiraceae. RNAcentral also lists the same sequence under 3 other names. The record is from RNAcentral.
GGGGAUGCACUGGUUUCGACGGGGCUUCUGAGGUCGGGAAAGCGGGUAGAGGAUCCUCGUUGGCCUCUUUAAUAAACGAGGAAUUGCAAGUAAUUGCAGACAACACAGAGCUCGUAGCAGCCUAAGGCUACCGUCCUUCCGCCUAUCUUCUCGCGGGAGUGUACGUACACCGAAGACCUCGCCUGAGAGAGGUUAAGCAGGCAGUCCUGCCGGUUAAGCUUUGCGCCGGAUAGUGACUUUAAUCUUUAUGAAGCUACAGGAACCGCAAUCUGUCAGCAGAUGACGCGGGAAUUGGAAUAAUCCAACUACUGACUGCACCCGGAGAUUGUCCCGGAGGAAGAGGUUUCGGACAGGAGUUCGAUUCUCCUCAUCUCCACCA